This 320-nucleotide ribosomal RNA is filed under the name uncultured eukaryote. RNAcentral's name for it is "partial 18S ribosomal RNA". It matches the Rfam family "Eukaryotic small subunit ribosomal RNA", at positions 1470 to 1796 of the family's 1831-position model. The record is from RNAcentral.
CCCUUAGAUGUUCUGGGCUGCACGCGCGCUACACUGGCACACCCAGCGAGUCUCCUGCCCUGACAGGGUUGGGUAAUCAUUGGAGUGUGUGUCGUGAUGGGGAUAGAGUAUUGCAAUUAUUGCUCUCGAACGAGGAAUUCCUAGUAAGCACAAGUCAGCAGCUUGUGCUGAUUACGUCCCUGCCCUUUGUACACACCGCCCGUCGCUCCUACCGAGGGGGUGAUCCGGUGAAUGAUUCGGACUUUGGCGUUUCUAGCUGCUAGCAGCGCUGAAGAAAGUUUUGUGAACCUUAUCACUUGGAGGAAGGAGAAGUCGUAACA